CUGGCUGUACAGCGUGGCCGCUCUCCGGUCCACUCCAUUGGAUGGGGAGAUGCUGGCACUCUGCUCCUCCCCCGUGCUGCUGUCUGGCAGGUGCAGCAGAGACCUCUUCUGAUAGGAAGGCAGGUUGGUAGACACAAUUCCUGGGGAGCCUGAAGGGUGUCUCUGGGGCUGAAAAAGAACUAUACUUCAGGAAAAAACACACCCCUCCACCCCCCAAAAUAGAAGGUAAUACAUUUGCAUUUUAAGUGAAAAAAAAAAAAGAGCUAGGAAAGUUUUACAAAGAUUUUAUUGAGCAACUAAUCCAAUAAUUUCAUUUCUGAAAAUUUAUGUCAAAGAGAAAACUGGAGCAAAAUACACAAAGUAUAUGUACAAAGAGGUUUAUCCUGCAGUUGUUUAUAAAAGAAAAAAUUCAGAAACAACCUACAUGUCUAUCAUUAGGGGACUGGUUAAAAAAAUAUUUCCAUCAAUGGAAUUCUAGAAGCCAUUAAAACUACCAUGCUGGUUUAUAUACAGUGACCAAUGGGAGGCCAUGUAUGCCUCAUAGUAAGUAAAAAAGAAAGCAGGUUUUAAAAUAGUAUGUAUAGGGGCGCCUGGGUGGCUCAGUCGGUUAAGCGGCUGACCUCGGCUCAGGUCAUGAUCUCGUGGUCUGUGAGUUCGAGCCCCGCAUCGGGCUCUGUUGCUGACAGCUCAGAGCCUGGAGCCUGUUUCAGAUUCUGUGUCUCCCUCUCUCUGACCCUCCCUGUUCAUGCUCUGUCUCUCCCUGUCUCAAAAAUAAAUAAAACGUUAAAAAAAAAAUAAAAAAAAAUAGUAUGUAUAGGGGGAACCUGGGUGGCUCAGUAGGUUAAGUGUCUGAUUCCUGGUUUCAGCUCAGGUCAUGAUCUCACAGUUUGUGGGAUUCAGCCCCGAGUCAGGCUCUAUGCUGACAGUGAAAGGCCUGCUUGGGAUUCUCUCUCCCCUCUCUCCCUGCCCUUCCCCUGCUUGCUCUCUCUCUCUCUCUCAAAAUAAAUAAAUAAAAUAAAUAAAUAAAUAAAUAAAUAAAUAAAUAAUAGUUAGUAUGUAUGGCAAAUCCCUUUUAUAUGUAUGUUUUGAAUGAUACAAUAAGCUUAGUGGUUUAUUUCUAGGUUUUAAAUUGUGGGUGAUUUUUGUCCUCUGUUUAUAACUAUGUAUUGUCUUAUUUAAAAGAAUAAGUAUAUCUCACUUUCAUAACCAGAAAAAAUAUCAAGAAAGUAUUUUAUUUUUCUGAGAAUUAAAGCAGUAAGACAGCACCCACCUGUGGCCUGAUAGCAGCUCCAGAACUGCCAUUGGAAGGCAACAGCUAGUGCCCAGAGGAUCCCUUCUUACCAUGCCAGAGGCUUUCUUCUACACCCGAUUCUCCCUGCCCUGCUGUGACAUCGGACCCUGCUGACCUCUCCUUCUUUCUGAAAUGCUCUUUUGAACAUUCACAUCUGUCCUUCUGUUGCAUCUGGAGCUAGUGUGAUGUGGAUUUGAUGGUGCCUGUCCCCUCACACAUCAGAAGGGACACCACUCCCUCACUGUGGGGUAAGUGGGAGGCUAAAGUAUACAGGGUGCUCAGCACAGUCUUUUGCACGUAUUACAUGCCUGAUAAAAGUUUAAAUCAGAACAGAGAGGGGGGGUGUGAAAAACAGAAAACAGAGUGUUUUUAAAAUAUUAAAAAAUUUUAAUGUUGAUUUAUUUAUUUUGAGAGAGAGAGUACAAGCAGGGGAGGGCCAGAGAGAGAGGGAGAGAGAGAGAAUCCCAAGUAGGCUCCGCACUGUCAGCACAGAGCCCGACACUGGGCUCGAACUUGAGAACUGUAAGAUCAUGACCUGAGCUGAAACCAAGAGUGGGACGCUUAACUAACUGAGCAACGCACGUGCCUCUGUUUUUAAAAUAUUUUUAUGAUAAAUGUUUCUCAAUUCAGAAAGAGAAAAGGGGGUGUGAGCAACAGAAAGUAGCAUAAUUUGUCUUUUAAAAAUAUUUUCUUUUCUCUGGUUAUUUCUCUGAAGCAAAUACGGUCCGGGUGUUCCCCUCCCCACUCGUGGUAGAAAAUCAGCUGAAACCACAGAGACACAGAUAGAAAAGAACCCAGUAAUUUUCCGUGGAUGCGGGGCCCUGAAACACAAGUAUUAUGUCACUGCGGUGAAGUGAGACACUCAGGAACUAUUCAGUCAUUUGGAACUUUCUGCCCUGGACCUCCAGGGCAUGACCCCUCCCUUUCUACCCUUCUCUUUGGCCAUAAACUCACCUGGGUUACCUGUGGCAGCGGGCCCUACCUGACCUAGCACCCUCAAAAAGCUCAGAAGUAGCUCCUCAAAGGAUUUUACCAACUCACACGGUCUGUUCUGGGCUCUUCUUUAAGGUCCACAGUUACUCUUUCCCACAGCUGCUGCCACUUCUCAGAGGUUUGGUUCAAUUUAUGCUCCAAUCUUUCAAUUUCCUGCAAAGUAAUAAAAAGGAGUUUUCUGAUAGUAAGUAUUUCGUAGAAAUCAGGACGUGUCCCAGAGCCACAUCUCCUCUGUACUGGGCCCCAAUGGACAUCAUGGUCAGAGGGCAGCUGAAGUCAAUGGCCUCAGAGGUCUCCCAAGCCAGGAGCAGUGGUGUGAACUCUAGCUGGUAUGAUGCACUAUGGCAAAGAUGAUUUAUUAGGAUCUGUAAUCAGGCCUUUUUGUACAGAAUAGCUUAAAUAAAGACAUAAAAUAUGUAUCCCAAACACCUUCACCUUUGGCUAGCCCAGAGGGAAUCUGAUGGCCACCGCAAAAGGCCAAGCACUGGGCUGGCAUCCAAACCCUAGUAGCUGAGGUAGGAGUCUGUCCUUGACAGAGGAACCCCUAACUCUGCUGAUUUAAAACCAGAUGUGGAAAGAAUGAACCAAGAAAUGCACAAAGAAUGGAAUUUCCUCGGGACAAGGAAGCUGGGGAUCAGAGCAGCUGCCUCUGUGACGCCUUCACUGCAGCACACUCCUCCCAGUCACAAGACUGCACGAAGACUCUUCAGGAACUGCUUGGCCCGUAUCAGGGCUCAAACCCUUUCCUCAGGGCUGCUGCUCUCAGCAGGGUGGCUACUGCUGGGAUUGUUUCAGUUCAGAAUAUUCUCUGUAGAGACGCUGGCAGUAUUCCCAUCAGGCCAUCAACUACCCACACUUCUGACCAGAGGAAGUAGAGCACCCACAAAAGCCAUAACCCAGGCCUGACUCAGGCUGUUGGGCAGCUAAAACAGCUGGGAAGCUGCAAAUUGCUCCAUUUGCUUGAUUGCUUCCUCAUAAUGCCAGAAAACUUACUUUUUUGAGACCCUUUUCCAGUAGUUGAGCCUGGUCCCCUACUGUUGUUGAGGAGCAAAUUUGGUUUUCCUCAUUCUCCUGGAAUGCUACGUAUCACACUGGCUCAGAGUGAGGACAGCCAUGUCCGGAAGUAUGCGAACCACUUUUAAUUUAGCCUGGUUUCUGAGGCCUCGGGUACUACCAGGGCCCCUGUUGCCCUCUGUGCAUGUCUACACAGGCCUGACUUACACUGAAAAGGCUGGUGAGAGCAUCGGGCUGAGCACAGCUGAUAUCAUCAUAGCAGGGCCACACUGUUCUCCUCCGGCUCUGGGGGCCAGCUCCUCCAGCCACUUCAGAGUCCUCGGAGGGGAAGUGCUUGGGGGUUAGCAUCAUCCAGUCAUAUGAAGGGCCUGUGGAAAGGGUCUCUUCUGUGUAGUAAUCCCACUUCUUGAGGCUGGAGACAUUUACACUGGGCUUCAGGGCCUGUUCAAAGAAAAUUCUGAAAUAUAGUUUCAUCUUGACCUCAAAGUACCCCAGCUUACUGGCAGGUCAGCCCUUAACAUUUGCAGGGUCCAGGGCAAGAGCAUGAAUGGAGAUUCAAAUACCAUAUAUGUAAAUAUUUAGAUAUUAUACAUCAAGAUAAACUAUUAAAUAAAAUAUAUCUCUCCUCCUACCUUGGUAAAUAUAACUUCCUAAUGAUCUGGAAGACCAGGCUCAAACUGAGAAUUCUUGGACUCCUUGGAAUUCUAUACCAAGGCCCAAGGUGGCACUGGGAAAGCUGGUCCCAGCUCCCAGUCCUUGGCCUAAUCCCCUGCUCCUCUCACCUUGGCUCUGUCCUAUAUUCUGAGGUCUUUUAUGAAUGUGUAUAUAUAUAUAUAUAUAUAUAUGUGUAUAUAUACACAUAUAUAUAUAUAUAUGUAUAUAUAUAUACAUGUAUAUGUAUAUAUAUAUAUAUAUAUAUAUAUACCUAGUCCACAAAACUAAACUUGGUCUACUACCUGCCAAACAGCUACUUCUUAGGCACCCUUGAGGCUGAAGGGAACACGCACCAGCUUGGGAGACAGACUGGAAGAAGUAGCUUUGUGAGCAACUUGGAUUAGGCAAGAAAUUUUGGGUACAUGGUUUAGAUGAAGAAAGGGUAUCUAAGCACAUACCCUUGUUUCUUGUGGUCUUCAUUUUAUGAGGAGGGGAUAGUUGGAGAAAGGCCAGAAUGGGGUCCUAAUGCAUGGGACCCAGGGCAGGGGCAUUCCUGCCCCUGAGUAAGGUGAUACGUCUCACUUGUCAUCAAACCAGUCUGUUCCAUCCCAGAGCUUACUUCACAUAGAUGUGCAUCACAGAGCAUGGUUGCCCCUGAGACGUCAUUCUUUUGAGCUGGGCUCCAAACAUCCGGCGUUCCAUAGGGGUUCUUCCACAGCUUUGGUAUAAAUGGACUUAGGGAAAUCUUUUCUAAAGUAUUUUAGAUUUUUUCAGCUUAGAUAACCAGUUGAGGUUUCAAGUUUUGUUUGGUCUUUCUUCCUGGAGAAAGUUGCCUCACUUUGACUUUCUUGAAGUUAUCCCUCCUAGAUUUUGGGGGCCAGCUCCUAAUUUUUGUGGUCAAGAAUAUGAUGAACAGUCUGUAUUCCAUCAUAACCCAAACCCAUAGUGUAUAUCAAAUUUUUAAAUAGCUUCUGGUAUUUUAAAUAGCUUCCUAAUCCAAUGUUUAUAAAAAGCUUAAACAGCUUAUAUAUACUUAAAAGUAAGGAAAACUUUAACACUAGAUACUCAGAAAGUGAAACAUAAAUGCUUUCUUACUGUACCUCUAUUUCCAUUGGUGAAUAUAAAUAAUUAAAGAAAAUGGGACUCCUCUUGUGCAUUCUAUCAAUACACUCCCAAAUACAAAUUCCUUUUUUGGCAUGUUUGUCUCCUUUAUCGUCAAACAACGUUCCUGUAAAUCAACCCCCCCCCCCAAAAAAAAAAAAAAUCAACAAAAGUCAAAUAAAUCAACAGUUUGCCUAAAACUAUGAUGCAUGUACCAGAUGAAAAGCAAAAUAUAUCUUACAGCUCUCAGAACAGCAAUGUAUGUGCAGAAACCUUAGGUGGUGACCGCAAAGCUAAGGAUAGGAAUGAACUUCACAGCUGUAUGGAAACAAACCCAAAUGGAAGGAAAACAUCUGGUAAGGUUUUCCCAAGUAUUUAGCAGCACAUAGUGACUCUCUUCUAAUCUAUAUCCUACAUCUAUAUCUAGAUUCACAAAGCUCCAUGCCAGGAGUCAUUCUACAUAUUUUUCAGGAGAAAUGGGAAGGACUUAGAGUUAUGUGAUGAAGUUCAGUUAAAAACAUAAUUUUAUGUUUCUUUUUUCAGUCAUUGGCUGUUCAUUAUGAAGCCAUUUAAAGUGUUUUCUUAUUUAGUAAUUUAUAUACUGCAAAUCAUGGUCAUGAAGACUUUGGAUGAUAGAAGGGUGUGGUCUGUAUCCUUGGGUGACUUAACAAAAGCCAAA
Molecule: long non-coding RNA, 5732 nt
Filed under: Lynx pardinus (Iberian lynx)
Lineage: Eukaryota; Metazoa; Chordata; Mammalia; Carnivora; Felidae
Source: RNAcentral